This 1480-nucleotide ribosomal RNA is filed under the name uncultured Bordetella sp. RNAcentral describes it as "partial 16S-23S ribosomal RNA intergenic spacer". It matches the Rfam family "Bacterial small subunit ribosomal RNA". The record is from RNAcentral. Lineage: Bacteria; Pseudomonadati; Pseudomonadota; Betaproteobacteria; Burkholderiales; Alcaligenaceae.
AGUUCGAUUAUGGCUCAGAUUGAACGCUGGCGGGAUGCUUUUUACACAUGCAAGUCGAACGGCAGCACGGACUUCGGUCUGGUGGCGAGUGGCGAACGGGUGAGUAAUGUAUCGGAACGUGCCUAGUAGCGGGGGAUAACUACGCGAAAGCGUAGCUAAUACCGCGUACGCCCUUCGGGGAAAGCAGGGGACCUUCGGGCCUCGCACUAUUAGAGCGGCCGAUAUCCGGAUUAGCUAGUUGGUGGGGUAACGGCUCGCAAGGCGACGAUCCGUAGCUGGUUUGAGAGGACGACCAGCCACACUGGGACUGAGACACGGCCCAGACUCCUACGGGAGGCAGCAGUGGGGAAUUUUGGACAAUGGGGAAACCCUGAUCAGCCAUCCCGCGUGUGCGAUGAAGGCCUUCAGGUUGUAAAGCACUUUUGGCAGGAAAAACGGCACGGGAUAAUACCCCGUGCAACUGACAGUACCUGCAGAAUAAGCACCGGCUAACUACGUGCCAGCAGCCGCGGUAAUACGUAGGGUGCAAGCGUUAAUCGGAAUUACUGGGCGUAAAGCGUGCGCAGGCGGUUCGGAAGAAAAGAUGCUUGAAAUCCAGAGCCCAACUGGAACUGCAUUUUUAACUACCGGGCUAGAGUGUGUCAAAGGAGGUGGAAUUCCGCGUGUAGCAGUGAAAUGCGUAGAUAUGCGGAGGGAACACCGAUGGCGAAGGCAGCCUCCUGGGAUAACACUGACGCUCAUGCACGAAAAGCGUGGGAGCAAACAGAGUUAGAUACCCUGGUAGUCCACGCCCUAAACGAUGUCAACUAGCUGUUGGGGCCUUCGGGCCUUGGUAGCGCAGCUAACGCGUGAAGUUGACCGCCUGGGGAAGUACGGUCGCAAGAUUAAGCUCAAAGGAAUUGACGGGGACCCGCACAAGCGGUGGAUGAUGUGGAUUAAUUCGAUGCAACGCGAAAAAGCCUUACCUACCCCUUGACAUGUCUGGAAUGCCGAAGAGAUUUGGCAGUGCUCGCAAGAGAACCGGAACACAGGUGCUGCAUGGCUGUCGUCAACUCGUGUCGUGAGAUGUUGGGUUAAGUCCCGCAACGAGCGCAACCGCCGUCAUUAGUUGCUACGAAAGGGCACUCUAAUGAGACUGCCGGUGACAAACCGGAGGAAGGUGGGGAUGACGUCAAGUCCUCAUGGCCCUUAUGGGUAGGGCUUCACACGUCAUACAAUGGUCGGGACAGAGGGUCGCCAACCCGCGAGGAGCCAAUCCCAGAAACCCGAUCGUAGUCCGGAUCGCAGUCUGCAACUCUGACUGCGUGAAGUCGGAAUCGCUAGUAAUCGCGGAUCAGCAUGUCGCGGUGAAUACGUUCCCGGGUCUUGUACACCGCCCGUCACACCAUGGGAGUGGGUUUUACCAAGUAGUUAGCCUAACCGCAAGGGGGUGAUUACCACGGUAGGAUUCGCGACUGGGGUGAAGUCGUAACAAGAGUAA